GGCUCAGGCGUUCGACGGCUGCCAGCACGCACGCGCUGCGGCGGGCCACACGCCCCAGGAAGUCACCAGGUAUGUGCUGAGGACUGCUUUGUUCCAGGACCCACCAGGUUGAGUGGGGAGACAGAGACGUCCACAAAUAAUGACAACACAACAUGGAUGUAAGUUCCACAAGAGCAGGAUCUUAUCUGCCUUCAAACAUUGCCUGGAACAUGG
This is a long non-coding RNA of Eptesicus fuscus (big brown bat), 213 nucleotides long. RefSeq lists it as uncharacterized. Lineage: Eukaryota; Metazoa; Chordata; Mammalia; Chiroptera; Vespertilionidae. The record is from RefSeq and is a predicted model, not a curated record. The transcript has 3 exons.